This 761-nucleotide ribosomal RNA is filed under the name uncultured Lactobacillus sp. Its description in RNAcentral is "bacterial SSU rRNA". It matches the Rfam family "Bacterial small subunit ribosomal RNA", at positions 62 to 779 of the family's 1533-position model. The record is from RNAcentral. Lineage: Bacteria; Bacillati; Bacillota; Bacilli; Lactobacillales; Lactobacillaceae.
UCGAGCGCACUGGCCCAACUGAUAUGACGUGCUUGCACUGAAUUGACGUUGGAUUACCAGUGAGCGGCGGACGGGUGAGUAACACGUGGGCAACCUGCCCUGAAGCGGGGGAUAACAUCUGGAAACAGGUGCUAAUACCGCAUAACAACGAAAACCACAUGGUUUUCGUUUCAAAGAUGGUUUCGGCUAUCACUUCAGGAUGGGCCCGCGGUGCAUUAGCUAGUUGGUAAGGUAACGGCUUACCAAGGCGAUGAUGCAUAGCCGAGUUGAGAGACUGAUCGGCCACAAUGGAACUGAGACACGGUCCAUACUCCUACGGGAGGCAGCAGUAGGGAAUCUUCCACAAUGGGCGCAAGCCUGAUGGAGCAACACCGCGUGAGUGAAGAAGGGUUUCGGCUCGUAAAGCUCUGUUGUUGGAGAAGAACGUGCGUGAGAGUAACUGUUCACGCAGUGACGGUAUCCAACCAGAAAGUCACGGCUAACUACGUGCCAGCAGCCGCGGUAAUACGUAGGUGGCAAGCGUUAUCCGGAUUUAUUGGGCGUAAAGCGAGCGCAGGCGGUUGCUUAGGUCUGAUGUGAAAGCCUUCGGCUUAACCGAAGAAGUGCAUCGGAAACCGGGCGACUUGAGUGCAGAAGAGGACAGUGGAACUCCAUGUGUAGCGGUGGAAUGCGUAGAUAUAUGGAAGAACACCAGCGGCGAAGGCGGCUGUCUGGUCUGCAACUGACGCUGAGGCUCGAAAGCAUGGGUAGCGAACAGGAUU